AAUGAACGCUGGCGGCAUGCCUAACACAUGCAAGUCGAACGAGCCCUUCGGGUCUAGUGGCGCAUGGUUUUGUAACGCGUGGGAACCUGCCCUUAGGUUUGGACUAACUCCCCGACAGGGGUGCUAUUACCGGAUCAUGUCUUCGGCCCAAUCAUUUAUUGCCUUUGGUUGUGCCCGCGUUGCAUACGAUAGUUGUGAGGGUAAUAGCCUAACAAGGCGAGCAUUCAUAGCUGGGCACAGAGGAUGGUCAGCCACACUGGGAGUAGGACACGGCCCAGACUCCUACGGGAGGCAGCAGUGGGUAAUGUUGGACAAUGGGCUGAGGCCUGAUCCAGCAAUGCCGCGAGAGUGAUGAAGGCAUGAGAGUUGUAAAGCGCUUUUACCCGGGAUGAUAAUGACGGUACCGAGAGAAUAAGCCCCGGCUAACUCCGUG
This 433-nucleotide ribosomal RNA is filed under the name uncultured bacterium. RNAcentral's name for it is "partial 16S ribosomal RNA". It matches the Rfam family "Bacterial small subunit ribosomal RNA", at positions 29 to 507 of the family's 1533-position model. The record is from RNAcentral.